AACGAACGCUGGCGGCAUGCCUAACACAUGCAAGUCGAACGAGACCUUCGGGUCUAGUGGCGCACGGGUGCGUAACGCGUGGGAACCUGCCCUUAGGUUCGGAAUAACUCCCUGAAAGGGGAGCUAAUACCGGAUAAUGUCUUCGGACCGAAGAUUUAUCGCCUUUGGAUGGGCCCGCGUUGGAUUAGGUAGUUGGUUGGGUAAAAGCCUACCAAGGCGACGAUCCAUAGCUGGUCUGAGAGGAUGAUCAGCCACACUGGGACUGAGACACGGCCCAGACUCCGACGGGAGGCAGCAGUAGGGAAUAUUGGACAAUGGGCGAAAGCCUGAGCCAGCAAUGCCGCGUGAGUGAUGAAGGCCUUAGGGUUGUAAAGCUCUUUUACCCGGGAUGAUAAUGACAGUACCGGGAGAAUAAGCUCCGGCUAACUCCGUG
Molecule: ribosomal RNA, 433 nt
Filed under: uncultured bacterium
Lineage: Bacteria
Description: partial 16S ribosomal RNA
Rfam family: Bacterial small subunit ribosomal RNA
Source: RNAcentral